RNAcentral lists this ribosomal RNA (497 nucleotides) under uncultured bacterium. RNAcentral's name for it is "partial 16S ribosomal RNA". It matches the Rfam family "Bacterial small subunit ribosomal RNA", at positions 28 to 507 of the family's 1533-position model. The record is from RNAcentral.
GAUGAACGCUGGCGGCGUGCCUAAUACAUGCAAGUCGAGCGAACAGACGAGGAGCUUGCUCCUCUGACGUUAGCGGCGGACGGGUGAGUAACACGUGGAUAACCUAUCUAUAAGACUGGGAUAACUUCGGGAAACCGGAGCUAAUACCGGAUAACAUAUUGAACCGCAUGGUUCAACAGUGAAAGACGGUCUUGCUGUCACUUAUAGAUGGAUCCGCGCCGCAUUAGCUAGUUGGUAAGGUAACGGCUUACCAAGGCAACGAUGCGUAGCCGACCUGAGAGGGUGAUCGGCCACACUGGAACUGAGACACGGUCCAGACUCCUACGGGAGGCAGCAGUAGGGAAUCUUCCGCAAUGGGCGAAAGCCUGACGGAGCAACGCCGCGUGAGUGAAGAAGGUCUUCGGAUCGUAAAACUCUGUUAUUAGGGAAGAACAAAUGUGUAAGUAACUAUGCACGUCUUGACGGUACCUAAUCAGAAAGCCACGGCUAACUACGUG